RNAcentral lists this ribosomal RNA (477 nucleotides) under uncultured organism. RNAcentral's name for it is "partial 16S ribosomal RNA". It matches the Rfam family "Bacterial small subunit ribosomal RNA", at positions 332 to 800 of the family's 1533-position model. The record is from RNAcentral.
UACACUCCUACGGGAGGCAGCAGUGGGGAAUUUUGGACAAUGGGCGAAAGCCUGAUCCAGCAAUGCCGCGUGAGUGAAGAAGGCCUUCGGGUUGUAAAGCUCUUUUGUCAGGGAAGAAACGGUGAGAGCUAAUAUCUUUUGCUAAUGACGGUACCUGAAGAAUAAGCACCGGCUAACUACGUGCCAGCAGCCGCGGUAAUACGUAGGGUGCAAGCGUUAAUCGGAAUUACUGGGCGUAAAGCGUGCGCAGGCGGUUUUGUAAGUCUGAUGUGAAAUCCCCGGGCUCAACCUGGGAAUUGCAUUGGAGACUGCAAGGCUAGAAUCUGGCAGAGGGGGGUAGAAUUCCACGUGUAGCAGUGAAAUGCGUAGAUAUGUGGAGGAACACCGAUGGCGAAGGCAGCCCCCUGGGUCAAGAUUGACGCUCAUGCACGAAAGCGUGGGGAGCAAACAGGAUUAGAUACCCUGGUAGUCCCAUGA